CUUCACAACUGGCUGCUUUACUGUAGAGGAAGGGGUACAGCAUCCAGUUGUGUGAGA
RNAcentral lists this microRNA precursor (57 nucleotides) under Petromyzon marinus (sea lamprey). Its description in RNAcentral is "Pma-Mir-4545-P1-v2_pre stem-loop". Lineage: Eukaryota; Metazoa; Chordata; Hyperoartia; Petromyzontiformes; Petromyzontidae. The record is from RNAcentral.